RNAcentral lists this ribosomal RNA (702 nucleotides) under uncultured Bacilli bacterium. RNAcentral's name for it is "bacterial SSU rRNA". It matches the Rfam family "Bacterial small subunit ribosomal RNA", at positions 55 to 741 of the family's 1533-position model. Lineage: Bacteria; Bacillati; Bacillota; Bacilli. The record is from RNAcentral.
AUGCAAGUAGAACGCUGAAGCUGGUGCUUGCACCGAGCGGAUGAGUUGCGAACGGGUGAGUAACGCGUAGGUAACCUGCCUGGUAGCGGGGGAUAACUAUUGGAAACGAUAGCUAAUACCGCAUAACAGUCGACAUUGCAUGAUGUUGAUUUGAAAGGGGCAAUUGCUCCACUACCAGAUGGACCUGCGUUGUAUUAGCUAGUUGGUGAGGUAACGGCUCACCAAGGCGACGAUACAUAGCCGACCUGAGAGGGUGAUCGGCCACACUGGGACUGAGACACGGCCCAGACUCCUACGGGAGGCAGCAGUAGGGAAUCUUCGGCAAUGGACGGAAGUCUGACCGAGCAACGCCGCGUGAGUGAAGAAGGUUUUCGGAUCGUAAAGCUCUGUUGUAAGGGAAGAACGAGUGUGAGAGUGGAAAGUUCACACUGUGACGGUAACUUACCAGAAAGGGACGGCUAACUACGUGCCAGCAGCCGCGGUAAUACGUAGGUCCCGAGCGUUAUCCGGAUUUAUUGGGCGUAAAGCGAGCGCAGGCGGUUAGAUAAGUCUGAAGUUAAAGGCUGUGGCUUAACCAUAGUACGCUUUGGAAACUGUUUAACUUGAGUGCAGAAGGGGAGAGUGGAAUUCCAUGUGUAGCGGUGAAAUGCGUAGAUAUAUGGAGGAACACCGGUGGCGAAAGCGGCUCUCUGGUCUGUAACU